AGCGCCAACACGCCCUCAGGUAAAGGUGGAAGUAAAUGGCCACGCUGUAUUGACAGAGGUAGGGUUUGUUUUUUAAUACUCGUUCUCACUUUAAGUCUCACCAGGGAGGGGUUUGGGAAGCACUGCGUGUUUGGGGGACGUUUUGCGCUUCCUGGUCUCUCCAGCCUACAAGUCGGGAGUCGGCGACCGCUUAGUGACGAGCGAUGAUUUUAAAGAGCAGAAUAAAAGGUUUUCCCGUGCCUGCCCCACAGCCCCUCCAGCUCGAAUAAUGGAGAACUGUCAAUGCACUCCGCGAGCGGUGGCCCAUUGUACGCAGCUGAUGGCGAGGAGGCGACUGGGGGUAGCAGGGGCUCCUUGCCCUCGUCCCUAUGCCCAAAUAAACGCGCAAACGCGCUCCCGUCUUCUGGUCAGUUAAAAGGUGAAACGAACACGAUUAAAAUAGACCAAAAGAAAAGAAAGAAAAGAAAACCUUUCUAUGUACAGAUUCUAAAUCGUACUCCCCAUACAGUCAGAGGCAGGGAGUCGAGGGCAGAGGCAGCAGGCGGAGAGAGGGAGAUAGGGCGAGGGAAGGAGAACGCGGAGAGAGACGAAGGGAGUGGGAGACCAGCGACAGCGAGCGCCAGGGCACCGCAGGCACACUGGAUGCCCAGUCCGCCGGCCCAGCCGCCCUCGGACCCUGGACCGUGCGUCGUGGGCACCAGAAACGAGACUCGGCCAAAUCCUGCCUCACCAGCAGGUAGAUGAAACUCAAGAGAAAAGGUGUGGAUAAAUGAAACUAGCCCAUGAUGAACCUGUUUUCUCCGUGACCACAAUAUUAACCAGGAUGAAUGGCGGUGGCAGUGGGCCUGCAUCACAGGUUGCAGCAGAUGUUCUCAAUAUUUCUAUUAAAAUUUCCUUAUUUCCAUAUGCAAGAGGAGCCCCAGAGCUGCAUCCUUAUGGUAGCUACCAUGCCGUGAUGUAAGCUGCCAUUCACUGGGGAGCUUUGGCAAUAGAAUUGGCUAGAUCAGGAAGCCUAUGUCAACUAUGGAACAACAACUUGCAGCUCAUCUCUAUUGAUGAUGGAAUCUCGCUAUGUCACCAGGCUGGAGUGCAGUGGCGCAACCUCGGCUCAGCGCAACAUCCGCCUCCCGGGUUCAAGUGAUUCUCCUACCUCAGCCUCCUGAGUAGCUGGGAUUACAGGAAUCUAAUGACCAUUGAACUGUGGCCAUGACUUCAAUUACAAGUAUUUUCUUCACUAAUGUCAGACUGUGGGCCUUUGUAUAUACACUUUUAACAAACUUUUUGGAAGUGCAAUACAUAUCGCAACAACUUCUCAAUGCUGAAUCAUAGUAUUGGAAGACAUUUUAAGCAACAAUUAAACUCAACUUAUUUACUACCAAUAAUGUACAUAAGUCAGCUGAAGUGAGGAUAACAUGAAUAGCACAAAUACAUUAUGAUUGCUGCCUGGCCAACAGUAAUUAUAAGAAACUGUCAGUUUUGAGAUGUGUCUUGAUUUCAGAGAUGUUAAAAAAGUUUUGGCUGUAGUUAUGCCACAGACAUGACCAAAGAGAGAGCUUUGUCACAGAUGAGCAAAGGUGAAACAGUCGCAAAUGGAAUUCCAAGAAACAUUCUAUAUACACUGCCUCUAGGACUGGGACAGAUAGCCACUGAGUACCUGCUUCAAAUCACCCUGCACGUUUUCUCUUUGGAAAGAUAAGCACUGGAGAACCAUCUCGUUACCUUCAGCAGAAAUGGAAACAAAUCAAGACAUUAAGAAUGCCGCAGUGGACAGCAGUUAUGCAAGGUUCAGCAGAGGAAGUUUUCAAGAUGGUGUGCCUCACUAGCCAGAAAUCAGAAAAGAUCGAAGCUAGCCUUUUCAUCUCAGCUGCUCCUUAAAUCAGUGCAACCCCUCCAAAUUAAUGUGAAUUGAAACUUGCAUUGCUUUUCAACUUAAUUGAAUACUUACUAUAUGUGAACCACUGCACAAAAUAGGGGAAGAAGAUGUGGGAGACAAAGAUGUGGAGCCUGUCUUCAAUAAAUUUACAGUUAGUUUCAG
RNAcentral lists this long non-coding RNA (2035 nucleotides) under Homo sapiens (human). RNAcentral's name for it is "NR2F1 regulatory antisense RNA 1". Lineage: Eukaryota; Metazoa; Chordata; Mammalia; Primates; Hominidae. The record is from RNAcentral.